This 1249-nucleotide long non-coding RNA is filed under the name Homo sapiens (human). Its description in RNAcentral is "HSALNT0390515". Lineage: Eukaryota; Metazoa; Chordata; Mammalia; Primates; Hominidae. The record is from RNAcentral.
GAGAAAGAUACUCUGCUAGCUUCAGAUUCAUUAGUACUAGGAAAUGGAGAGAUAGGAGGUAUAAUGUAUUAGGGAAGCAAGGGAUUCAGAACCAGGUGCCCACUGACUCUGAGAAGCACUGGGUGCACAGAGGGUAGCAGACAAGCAAGAGGGUGGAAUUUGCAGCAUCUCAUCUUGGUGAGACAGUUGGAAGACUUUUCUGCCAAUUAUAGUGGUUAAACACUGACUCAACAUCAAACAACGGCAUGAGGGGUCAGAGCCUUCAUUCGUGGACAAGUUUCAAAAACAUGGGAGCACCACCUGUCAUGAGCAAUUUAGUCAGAACAGAAGAGAAUAGAUCACACCCAACAAGACAGAAAAAGCUGCUUUCUGGAGAGGGCGGGAGCUAAUAUUUCCUAACACGGUGAAAUUGUGAAGUGCUUUUUGCAGCCCUUCAUAAUUUCAUCAUCCAAAGGGUUUGCUUUUGGAAUUCUUAGACACUUAAUUCUGUCCCUGCUUUCCGUGUCACUUCCACGGGACACUGAAUUUGGGAAGAGGGAGACCUCACCAAUGAUGGGAAGAACAGAUUGGGGGCUGGCGCCCUUUUGGGUUUGCCAUGUGAACAUCCUCCUGGAACAGUCUCCAUUCUGUCCCAGCAAGACACACUCUGCUCUGUGAAGAACCCAGGUGGGAAAAAAAAAAAAAUCUAUGAGGCCACAGUGGAAAUGCAGCUCAGCAGGACUCUCAGGUACCCCAAAAUUGUCCCAUCUGACAACUCACCACAUUCUAUUUAUUUAUUUAUUUAUUUAUUUUGAGAUGGAGUCUCACUGUGUCACCCAGGCUGGAGUGUAGUGGCGUGAUCUAGGCUCACCGCAGCCUACGCCUCCCAGAUUCAAGCGAUUCUCCUGCCUCAGCCUCCCAUGUAGCUGAGACUACAGGCAUGCGCCACCACACCCAGCUAAUUUUUGUAUUUUUAGUAGAGAUGGGGUUUCGCCAUGUUGCCCAGGCUGGUCUCAAACUUCUGACCUCAGGUGAUCCACCCCCGCCCCUCAGCCUCCCAAAGUUCUGGGAUUACAGUCAUGAGACACUGCACCUGGCCAACACAUUCUGUUUUCAUCAUUAGUGCCUGUCCUCCCUGCUAGCUCAUGGGCUCCCCCAGAGCAGGCAUGUUUGCCCUAGUCACCAUCAAAACUGUCUUAGUACCUGUCACGGUGCCUGGCACAUAGCAGUUAUUCAGUAAAUGUUUGUUGAAUAAAUCAACUAUAAACAU